GAUCAUGGCUCAGGAUGAACGCUAGCUACAGGCUUAACACAUGCAAGUCGAGGGCGAUCAGGAAGAAAGCUUGCUUUCUUUGCUGGCGACCGGCGCACGGGUGAGCAACGCGUAUCCAACCUGCCCUUUACUCGGGGAUAGCCUUUCGAAAGAAAGAUUAAUACCCGAUGGCAUAAUGAUUCCGCAUGGUUUCAUUAUUAAAGGAUUCCGGUAAAGGAUGGGGAUGCGUUCCAUUAGGUUGUUG
Molecule: ribosomal RNA, 244 nt
Filed under: uncultured bacterium
Lineage: Bacteria
Description: partial 16S ribosomal RNA
Rfam family: Bacterial small subunit ribosomal RNA
Source: RNAcentral